GGGCGUUUAACUCAGCGGGAGAGUGGCACCUUCACACGGUGCAAGUCGUAGGUUCAAUCCCUACAACGCCCACGA
RNAcentral lists this transfer RNA (75 nucleotides) under Deltaproteobacteria bacterium. RNAcentral describes it as "tRNA-Val". It matches the Rfam family "tRNA". Rfam says of the family: Transfer RNA (tRNA) molecules are approximately 80 nucleotides in length. Lineage: Bacteria; Pseudomonadati; Myxococcota; Myxococcia. The record is from RNAcentral.